UAACAGAAACCAAGCAAAAACGUAAAAAACUCCAAUAUUUUGAAUCUUCCCGCCACCCACACACAAAAUCGUUUCGUUUCUUUUUGCUCAAAACGACAAAAAUGCUUUCGUUUCCUUCUCCUAUUGAACCCACUGUCGCCUCUGCUCUCCUCUCCACUACCACACCUCUUUCUCCCCCUCCUUCAAAGUACUUACUUGAUCGAUCAAAACUCGCUUUCUUUUGUUAAUUUCUUCUCGGAUUUCAACCAACGAUUUCGUUUUGGUUGUUUUUUUGAGGCUCGGUGUUGAUGGAGAGAAGAAAUCUGCGAAAGAGCAGUAGUGAAGAGGAGAGCUUGAGCUUGAGCUUGAGCUUUUUCAAGUGGUUCCAGCGCGGCUUCAAGCAAGCAAAAGCCACUUUAUGAAGACGAACGGAUUGAUGAUGAAGCCGGCCGGCUCGUGAUGAUCAGGAGGAGACGAAGAGGAUCAGAUCUGGCUUUGGCUCGCGUUACAUGAGCGGCCGAGCCGAAGCAACAUGGAGGCUGCUGUCAAGUGGUUGUUUCUCCGAAAUGAGGAUUCGUCGAGUGCUUGGCGACAGUACUCCUAGCACAAGCAAAGCUUUGAGAAAAAUACGGUGAAUUUCACCUGCUGUGGUGUAAUGUCAGGCUGUUAAAGCAAAAGGCGGUGAAAAGAUCUGGUGAAGGAGGGAGUCAUGACCAUUUAUACGGUAACGGGCUCUUCUCAUAAAUAUUUUACUGCUUUCCCAGUCCACUGAAAUGAUUAAUUUAUGAAAUUAGUCCAUAAAAAGUUA
Populus trichocarpa (black cottonwood) is the source of this 787-nucleotide long non-coding RNA. RefSeq lists it as uncharacterized. The transcript is spliced from 2 exons. The record is from RefSeq and is a predicted model, not a curated record. Lineage: Eukaryota; Viridiplantae; Streptophyta; Magnoliopsida; Malpighiales; Salicaceae.